CUGCAGCCGCCGCCAUGACCAGCAGCAUGUGAAGAUGCCGGCUUCCAUUAUGGACUAGGAACCAGAGGCACCAGAUGGAGACUUCUGGGGACACCCUGCCUCAUAGAGUGAGCCUUUUGUGGUCCCCCCUCUUCCAUGAGAGUCAGCUAUUGUGGGACUACUCUGACUGCUGAAACAUCCAGCCUCAAGGACCAAAAUACAUACCAGAAAUGUUCAAAGGUUUCAUACAUAGAGUCACCAGAUUCCACACACCUCACAAGAAGUGCAUCAGGAUCAUCAAAUGCAAUUGAUACGUUCUUUAAUUCAUGCACACCAUGGACUUCCAGUGCUCUCCAUACUGAGGAGUCUUUAGUAACCAUAGGUUCCGACCAGCUGAAGAGUCAUGUUCAGUGGUUCUCUAAGGUCACUAGAGACUCCACUAGAAGAGCUGAGUGUAUUGGUGUUUGUUCUGCCCAUGAUGUUGGGCUAUAGGACCCAAAGGAAGUGGUGCUUCCCGCCAUUGUACAUGACCUCUUAAAAAGGGAGGGAGAUGGGUCACAUGCCCCUUCUCCCUGCUGCCUCCCUGCGAGGUGGAUUCCCUCCCGGUCAGAUCAGAGGACAACUUCAGCUGUCUAUUCUGUUCUGUAUUUGUGAAUGUAUUUCCUCAAUUUAUAUCUUAAUAAAUCCCUACUACUCAUUAAAUAGACUCACGUGGAUUGAUCACAGUAGAUCAGCCUUACAAUUCUGUUUCUCCAGCCACAUUCCCAGUACCACAAUUUGUUUUAGUCAGGGUCCUCUAGGGGAAUAGAACAAAGAGGGUGUGUGAACACAAACACACACACACACACACACA
Molecule: long non-coding RNA, 832 nt
Organism: Peromyscus leucopus (white-footed mouse)
Lineage: Eukaryota; Metazoa; Chordata; Mammalia; Rodentia; Cricetidae
Exons: 3
Source: RefSeq, a predicted model, not a curated record